RNAcentral lists this ribosomal RNA (460 nucleotides) under uncultured bacterium. Its description in RNAcentral is "partial 16S ribosomal RNA". It matches the Rfam family "Bacterial small subunit ribosomal RNA", at positions 338 to 795 of the family's 1533-position model. The record is from RNAcentral.
CCUACGGGAGGCAGCAGUGAGGAAUAUUGGUCAAUGGACGAGAGUCUGAACCAGCCAAGUAGCGUGAAGGAUGACUGCCCUAUGGGUUGUAAACUUCUUUUAUAUGGGAAUAAAAUGUUCCACGUGUGGGAUUUUGUAUGUACCAUAUGAAUAAGGAUCGGCUAACUCCGUGCCAGCAGCCGCGGUAAUACGGAGGAUCCGAGCGUUAUCCGGAUUUAUUGGGUUUAAAGGGAGCGUAGGUGGAUUGUUAAGGCAGUUGUGAAAGUUUGCGGCUCAACCGUAAAAUUGCAGUUGAAACUGGCAGUCUUGAGUACAGUAGAGGUAGGCGGAAUUCGUGGUGUAGCGGUGAAAUGCUUAGAUAUCACGAAGAACUCCGAUUGCGAAGGCAGUUCACUGGACUGCAACUGACACUGAGGCUCGAAAGUGUGGGUAUCAAACAGGAUUAGAUACCCUUGUAGUC